GCAAUCUGAAACUGGCGCGUCAGAACCGGACGGUGUUUUUGAGUCUGCUUGGCAUUUCCUGGCUGUGGUUCGUUGGCGCGACGUUCCUGUCGUCGUUCUUUCGGUUCGCGAAGGACGUGCUG
Molecule: non-coding RNA, 122 nt
Filed under: Paraburkholderia caribensis
Lineage: Bacteria; Pseudomonadati; Pseudomonadota; Betaproteobacteria; Burkholderiales; Burkholderiaceae
Description: Bcj11
Rfam family: Burkholderia RNA 11
About the family: Co-purified with Hfq, expression confirmed by Northern blot. Predicted target marZ. Overlaps coding sequence.
Source: RNAcentral